This 1389-nucleotide ribosomal RNA is filed under the name Bacillus amyloliquefaciens. Its description in RNAcentral is "bacterial SSU rRNA". It matches the Rfam family "Bacterial small subunit ribosomal RNA", at positions 17 to 1389 of the family's 1533-position model. The record is from RNAcentral. Lineage: Bacteria; Bacillati; Bacillota; Bacilli; Caryophanales; Bacillaceae.
UCCUGGCUCAGRACGAACGCWGGCGGCGUKCCUMAUACAUGCAAGUCGAGCGGACAGAUGGGAGCUUGCUCCCUGAUGUUAGCGGCGGACGGGUGAGUAACACGUGGGUAACCUGCCUGUAAGACUGGGAUAACUCCGGGAAACCGGGGCUAAUACCGGAUGGUUGUUUGAACCGCAUGGUUCAGACAUAAAAGGUGGCUUCGGCUACCACUUACAGAUGGACCCGCGGCGCAUUAGCUAGUUGGUGRGGUAACGGCUCACCAAGGCGACGAUGCGUAGCCGACCUGAGAGGGUGAUCGGCCACACUGGGACUGAGACACGGCCCAGACUCCUACGGGAGGCAGCAGUAGGGAAUCUUCCGCAAUGGACGAAAGUCUGACGGAGCAACGCCGCGUGAGUGAUGAAGGUUUUCGGAUCGUAAAGCUCUGUUGUUAGGGAAGAACAAGUGCCGUUCAAAUAGGGCGGCACCUUGACGGUACCUAACCAGAAAGCCACGGCUAACUACGUGCCAGCAGCCGCGGUAAUACGUAGGUGGCAAGCGUUGUCCGGAAUUAUUGGGCGUAAAGGGCUCGCAGGCGGUUUCUUAAGUCUGAUGUGAAAGCCCCCGGCUCAACCGGGGAGGGUCAUUGGAAACUGGGGAACUUGAGUGCAGAAGAGGAGAGUGGAAUUCCACGUGUAGCGGUGAAAUGCGUAGAGAUGUGGAGGAACACCAGUGGCGAAGGCGACUCUCUGGUCUGUAACUGACGCUGAGGAGCGAAAGCGUGGGGAGCGAACAGGAUUAGAUACCCUGGUAGUCCACGCCGUAAACGAUGAGUGCUAAGUGUUAGGGGGUUUCCGCCCCUUAGUGCUGCAGCUAACGCAUUAAGCACUCCGCCUGGGGAGUACGGUCGCAAGACUGAAACUCAAAGGAAUUGACGGGGGCCCGCACAAGCGGURGARCAUGUGGUUUAAUUCGAAGCAACGCGAAGAACCUUACCAGGUCUUGACAUCCUCUGACAAUCCUAGAGAUAGGACGUCCCCUUCGGGGGCAGAGUGACAGGUGGUGCAUGGUUGUCGUCAGCUCGUGUCGUGAGAUGUUGGGUUAAGUCCCGCAACGAGCGCAACCCUUGAUCUUAGUUGCCAGCAUUCAGUUGGGCACUCUAAGGUGACUGCCGGUGACAAACCGGAGGAAGGUGGGGAUGACGUCAAAUCAUCAUGCCCCUUAUGACCUGGGCUACACACGUGCUACAAUGGACAGAACAAAGGGCAGCGAAACCGCGAGGUUAAGCCAAUCCCACAAAUCUGUUCUCAGUUCGGAUCGCAGUCUGCAACUCGACUGCGUGAAGCUGGAAUCGCUAGUAAUCGCGGAUCAGCAUGCCGCGGUGAAUACGUUCCCGGGCCUUGUACACA